This 528-nucleotide ribosomal RNA is filed under the name uncultured bacterium. RNAcentral's name for it is "bacterial SSU rRNA". It matches the Rfam family "Bacterial small subunit ribosomal RNA", at positions 791 to 1320 of the family's 1533-position model. The record is from RNAcentral.
UAGUCCACGCCGUAAACGAUGGAUACUAGGUGUCCGGGAAGUUAACCUCCUGGGUACUACAGCUAACGCGUUAAGUAUCCCGCCUGGGGAGUACGGUCGCAAGGCUAAAACUCAAAGGAAUUGACGGGGGCCCACACAAGCGGUGGAGUAUGUGGUUUAAUUCGAAGCAACGCGCAGAACCUUACCUACCCUUAACAUUUCACGCUCGCCUCAGAGAUGAGGUUUUCUCUUCGGAGACGUGAGGAUAGGUGCUGCAUGGCUGUCGUCAGCUCGUGUCGUAAGAUGUCUGGUUAAGUCCAAUAACGAGCGCAACCCUUAUCCUUAGUUACCAGCAUUGAGUUGGGGACUCUAGGGAGACUGCCGGUGUUAAACCGGAGGAAGGCGGGGAUGACGUCAAGUCCUCAUGGCCCUUACGUCCUGGGCUACACACGUGCUACAAUGGUAAUGACAGAGGGCAGCCACCACGCGAGUGGGAGCGAAUCCUUAAACAUUAUCUCAGUUCGGAUUGGAGUCUGCAACUCGACUCCA